Molecule: long non-coding RNA, 255 nt
Organism: Mauremys reevesii (Reeves's turtle)
Lineage: Eukaryota; Metazoa; Chordata; Testudines; Geoemydidae
Exons: 3
Source: RefSeq, a predicted model, not a curated record
GAUUUUACUAGAAAACAGCCGUCCCUGUUUAGAAGUAUUGCUGUCUGUGCAUCCCGGAGCUAUGGGGUGAGUGGGGAAGGCCCACAACUAGCUUGUCAGUAUCAGCAAAGGAGCAGCCGACAUCAGGACCAACGAGACGUGCUGGUGGCCCAUUAAGAAGAAUCCACUCUCCCAGAGACUUCUCGGCAAGGGCACGAUCCGUGAACAGCAAAACCUCCCUGUGUCUCUGGUCUGAGCCAGGGCAUUCGAUUCCAG